RNAcentral lists this ribosomal RNA (506 nucleotides) under uncultured bacterium. RNAcentral's name for it is "partial 16S ribosomal RNA". It matches the Rfam family "Bacterial small subunit ribosomal RNA", at positions 29 to 523 of the family's 1533-position model. The record is from RNAcentral.
AGUGAACGCUGGCGGUAGGCCUAACACAUGCAAGUCGAACGGCAGCACAGGAGAGCUUGCUCUCUGGGUGGCGAGUGGCGGACGGGUGAGGAAUACAUCGGAAUCUACUCUGUCGUGGGGGAUAACGUAGGGAAACUUACGCUAAUACCGCAUACGACCUACGGGUGAAAGCAGGGGACCUUCGGGCCUUGCGCGAUUGAAUGAGCCGAUGUCGGAUUAGCUAGUUGGCGGGGUAAAGGCCCACCAAGGCGACGAUCCGUAGCUGGUCUGAGAGGAUGAGCAGGCAGACUGGAACUGAGACACGGUCCAGACUCCUACGGGAGGCAGCAGUGGGGAAUAUUGGACAAUGGGCGCAAGCCUGAUACAGCCAUACCGCGUGGGUGAAGAAGGCCUUUGGGUUGUAAGGCCGUUUUGUUGGGAAAGAAAUCCAGCUGGCUAAUACCCGGUUGGGAUGACGGUACCCAAAGAAUAAGCACCGGCUAACUUCGUGCCAGCCGCCGCUGUAA